RNAcentral lists this long non-coding RNA (617 nucleotides) under Hordeum vulgare. RNAcentral describes it as "long non-coding RNA (HVUL_LNC005186)". The record is from RNAcentral. Lineage: Eukaryota; Viridiplantae; Streptophyta; Magnoliopsida; Poales; Poaceae.
CUCUCAUGUCAGCUCUUUUUUCUUCCAUUGUUGAUGCGUCCAGGCUUUUGUUGAGUGGCUUUGUUAGGAUCAAUGAACUGUUAGCAUGGUGGCAUUAUUAGCAACAGAGGGGAGGAAGAUUGAGGAUGAAUUACGGGGUUGGGUGUGCUGCUUACCAGGUCGGGGAUGUUCUACCAGCAGUGCUCGCCGCAGUUGUUGUGGAUAUAGAUGAGCCAUAGAGGUAAUGUUUUCUCUCAUGGUACCUUGACCUUUUCCAUUAUAAACACAGAACAUAUGAACAAUUCAGCAUUGUACUGAACAUCAAUUAGCUCACAAGAUGGCAUACAAGGUAGUUACUGAGUCUGAGUGUAGAUUCCCAGAUUAGCCUAAUGCUCUGUACCAUGAAAGAUAGCAGGUCAGAAGCAAGUGUUUGUGUUUUGGUUUUUCUUCUCAGCAAAAAAAUGGUUUCGGUGUUUCAUAACUAAUUUGAUUCUCAUAAAGCUUUUCAGAACUGCUCUUUUUGGUGUUCGGCUCUUACUGUUACUCGACUACAAAUGCAGAUACUAAUUUUUGGCCUCAUCAUUUAAGGUUUGUCUCAACUAAUUAGGAAAACCAAAGUAUAUAGUGUUAUGCUAUAG